Molecule: ribosomal RNA, 254 nt
Filed under: uncultured bacterium
Lineage: Bacteria
Description: partial 16S ribosomal RNA
Rfam family: Bacterial small subunit ribosomal RNA
Source: RNAcentral
UACGGGGGGGGGCAAGUGUUGUUCGGAAUUACUGGGCGUAAAGGGCUCGUAGGUGGCCAACUAAGUCGGACGUGAAAUCCCUCAGCUUAACUGGGGAACUGCGUCCGAUACUGGAUGGCUCGAGUUUGGGAGAGGGAUGCGGAAUUCCAGGUGUAGCGGUGAAAUGCGUAGAUAUCUGGAGGAACACCGGUGGCGAAGGCGGCAUCCUGGACCAACACUGACACUGAGGCGCGAAAGCUAGGGGAGCAAACAGG